GUGGCCUAUGCAAACUACUCA
This 21-nucleotide non-coding RNA is filed under the name Arabidopsis thaliana (thale cress). The record is from RNAcentral. Lineage: Eukaryota; Viridiplantae; Streptophyta; Magnoliopsida; Brassicales; Brassicaceae.